This 397-nucleotide ribosomal RNA is filed under the name uncultured bacterium. RNAcentral's name for it is "bacterial SSU rRNA". It matches the Rfam family "Bacterial small subunit ribosomal RNA", at positions 975 to 1375 of the family's 1533-position model. The record is from RNAcentral.
CUGGGCUUGACAUGCUCGUUAAAGCGCGUGAAAGCGCGUGUCCGUAAGGGGCUAGCACAGGUGCUGCAUGGCUGUCGUCAGCUCGUGCCGUGAGAUGUUGGGUUAAGUCCCGCAACGAGCGCAACCCUUAUCGAUAGUUGCUAGCGGUUCGGCCGAGCACUCUAUUGAGACUGCCGUUGACAAAACGGAGGAAGGUGGGGAUGACGUCAAGUCCUCAUGGCCUUUAUGUCCAGGGCUACACACGUGCUACAAUGGCAAGUACAAAGCGCUGCAAACUCGCGAGAGGGAGCCAAUCGCAAAAAGCUUGUCUCAGUUCGGAUUGGAGUCUGCAACUCGACUUCAUGAAGCUGGAAUCGCUAGUAAUCGCAGAUCAGCACGCUGCGGUGAAUACGUUCCC